RNAcentral lists this ribosomal RNA (294 nucleotides) under Desulfobacteraceae bacterium. RNAcentral describes it as "partial 23S ribosomal RNA". It matches the Rfam family "Bacterial large subunit ribosomal RNA", at positions 2642 to 2925 of the family's 2925-position model. Lineage: Bacteria; Pseudomonadati; Thermodesulfobacteriota; Desulfobacteria; Desulfobacterales; Desulfobacteraceae. The record is from RNAcentral.
CUUUCGUGGGCGUAGGAUAUUUGAGAGGAGCUGUUCCUAGUACGAGAGGACCGGAAUGGACGAACCAAUGGUGUUCCAGUUGUCGCGCCAGCGGCAUUGCUGGGUAGCUAAGUUCGGAAUGGAUAACCGCUGAAAGCAUCUAAGCGGGAAGCCAACCUCAAGAUAAGAUAUCCCUUUCCCGUGGAAACACGGGAACUAAAGACCCCUUGUAGACGACAAGGUUGAUAGGCCAGAUGUGUAAGUACGGCAACGUAUUUAGCUUACUGGUACUAAUCGGUCGUGAGGCUUGGCCAC